This 439-nucleotide ribosomal RNA is filed under the name uncultured bacterium. RNAcentral describes it as "partial 16S ribosomal RNA". It matches the Rfam family "Bacterial small subunit ribosomal RNA", at positions 339 to 795 of the family's 1533-position model. The record is from RNAcentral.
CUACGGGGGGCUCCAGUGGGGAAUAUUGGACAAUGGGGGAAACCCUGAUCCAGCAAUGCCGCGUGGAGGAUGACGCAUUUCGGUGUGUAAACUCCUUUUAUAUGUCAAGAAGAUGACGGUAGCAUAUGAAUAAGCACCGGCUAACUCCGUGCCAGCAGCCGCGGUAAUACGGAGGGUGCAAGCGUUACUCGGAAUCACUGGGCGUAAAGGACGCGUAGGCGGGUGGGAAAGUCAGGUGUGAAAUCCUACAGCUUAACUGUAGAACUGCACUUGAAACUUCUAAUCUAGAGUAUGGGAGGGGGAGAUGGAAUUAGUGGUGUAGAGGUAAAAUCCGUAGAUAUCACUAGGAAUACCUAAAGCGAAGGCGAUCUCCUGGAACAUUACUGACGCUAAGGCGUGAAAGCGUGGGGAGCAAACAGGAUUAGAUACCCCAGUAGUC